Molecule: long non-coding RNA, 1055 nt
Organism: Conger conger (European conger)
Lineage: Eukaryota; Metazoa; Chordata; Actinopteri; Anguilliformes; Congridae
Exons: 2
Source: RefSeq, a predicted model, not a curated record
UGCUUAGCCAGGGGAGCGGAGUGAAAAGUGCGGUAAAUUGGAAUUGUUUGGCAUGCUGUUAUAUUAGGCUAGCAUUAGCUUCCUUAUAAUAGAGUACGACGCUUAUAAGUAUGUGGGUUCUUGUAGAUUACCGACGGACGAAGACAAUCCGGGCAUUGGCGUUCCAUGUGUUAAAGGGUGUGCGUGUGCAGUCACCGGUAACUGAAGUACGGAGGCAUUUUGUUGGGUUUAACAAGGAUCGUGUUGGUGUUAAGAGCGUUUGCCUAAUUGCUGCUGCGUGCGGGAGGGGUGGAUGGCCUGGGAGCCGGCUUGUGAAUGAACCCCGCCACUCGUCGUUUUUGCCAUUUUGUUUGGACAGCUAGCCACUGUUUUCCCAUAUGUGAAGUUUGUAUAUGUUUAUUUAUAUCAUGUCUGAAAAUGAGCUCUUUUAAUCAUUGAUGUUUUACUGUUGAUGCAACUUGUUGUGUUUGGGCAGUGUGCAGUACCAAGGGUGGGCUGUACUAUUGUAAUCAACCAUUAUAUGAGAGCAGUGUGCAAUAUCAAGGCUGGGACAAGGGGAGGUGCCAGUGGGCAGGUGUACUUUGGACAAUUGUCUAUCAAACUGAUUAUCUUGGCACUUCAUGUUCUUUACUCCCUACUACAUUACUUAUUUUAAGUCUUAAUUGGCUUUGCUUGGGUUCUCGUAUUUAGUGGGCAGGGCUCGAUGCUCAAUGUGUUACGGGGACCACCCAUGUGGUGUGAUUACGAUUGGUGUGUAUUAACCAAGCCUUUUAUGGUUAACCUGGUGUCACCUUGGUUGCGGUGCUUGGGGUGUUGAGUCACUGGGAAGCCCUGUACUUAUUGUGGAUCAAAAGUGGGUUGCCUGUCAAUAUUGAGCAUUGCGGUGCUGCCCAACAUUAUUUAUUGGAAUCUUGCAUAUAAACUUGUGUUGAUGAGAACUCAUGUAUGUACCCCUAAUACACUGCUGUAAGUAAAGGUUGGUCUUUUACACAACAAAUAUUUUAAUUACUCUGAACGAAUGGUAUAAAUAAAGUAUUAUUGUGUUGCUUUUGAUA